Molecule: ribosomal RNA, 460 nt
Filed under: uncultured bacterium
Lineage: Bacteria
Description: partial 16S ribosomal RNA
Rfam family: Bacterial small subunit ribosomal RNA
Source: RNAcentral
CCUACGGGGUGCAGCAGUGAGGAAUAUUGGUCAAUGGACGAGAGUCUGAACCAGCCAAGUAGCGUGAAGGAUGACUGCCCUAUGGGUUGUAAACUUCUUUUAUAUGGGAAUAAAACGUUCCACGUGUGGGAUUUUGUAUGUACCAUAUGAAUAAGGAUCGGCUAACUCCGUGCCAGCAGCCGCGGUAAUACGGAGGAUCCGAGCGUUAUCCGGAUUUAUUGGGUUUAAAGGGAGCGUAGGUGGAUUGUUAAGUCAGUUGUGAAAGUUUGCGGCUCAACCGUAAAAUUGCAGUUGAAGCUGGCAGUCUUGAGUACAGUAGAGGUGGGCGGAAUGCGUGGUGUAGCGGUGAAAUGCUUAGAUAUCACGAAGAACUCCGAUUGCGAAGGCAGUUCACUGGACUGCAACUGACACUGAGGCUCGAAAGUGUGGGUAUCAAACAGGAUUAGAUACCCUUGUAGUC